UGUUUCACAAGUUCAGAUUUGGCCUGAAGAAGCUCUUAGUCCUUUACUGAACUUACUUAAAUAUAUGCUACAUGACAAUUUCUACAGCUUUAUGAAUGGGCCUGGCUUUUUGCAGAUAAAUAGGGUAUGUUUGACAAGGAACUUGCUGCUUAAUAAUCACAAGUCACUAUUCAUAGUAUCCAUGAUAUCCGCAACAGCAUUUGAAUGAGUAGGCUACCCUGAGCUAGAGGAAAGACAGAUGAAGCACAUGAGUGUGCCUCAGGGCCAACUUAAAUAAAUGGCUUAUUAAAAAGGUACCUUUCACUUCUGAUUGCUGCUCAAAUUCAACCAGUAAAUUUACUGAUGCAAGACAAAUGGAAAAAAUAGCUUUGCCUGCCUGAAGAAAGAUAUAAUUAACAACAACGACAAAAAUUAAAAAAAAAAAAAAGAUAUAACCUAACAUCUCCUUCCUCCUCAUUAAGUGGGGAAGGGUCCAGCCUUCAGAAAACAUUUUGUUAAGCUCUUCAGGAUAGUAAGAAGAUGACCUGAUACGUUUGGGGCUCAGGAUACAGCUAGAUGGCAAAUUCAUGGUGUGAUCCUCUAUCUGAGGGCAAGGAGAAGAGGAGGGAAGAAAGGGAGUCAAAUUACUUCAAGCAACUAGUAUUUGUGCACCAGUUGUACAUGAACACUUUAAAUCACACUUGGCUUGCUAAUCCAAAUCUGAAAUUUCAAAUAACCGCUAAAGCUAUACAUGUAUUUUUUACUUAUAACACUAAAAUGCAUUGAAAACACAGAACUCUCCAAAAUACAUGGCAAUACGUGGA
RNAcentral lists this long non-coding RNA (803 nucleotides) under Anser brachyrhynchus (Pink-footed goose). Its description in RNAcentral is "lncRNA (ENSABRG00000019549.1)". The record is from RNAcentral. Lineage: Eukaryota; Metazoa; Chordata; Aves; Anseriformes; Anatidae.